RNAcentral lists this ribosomal RNA (460 nucleotides) under uncultured bacterium. RNAcentral's name for it is "partial 16S ribosomal RNA". It matches the Rfam family "Bacterial small subunit ribosomal RNA", at positions 338 to 795 of the family's 1533-position model. The record is from RNAcentral.
CCUACGGGAGGCAGCAGUGAGGAAUAUUGGUCAAUGGACGCGAGCCUGAACCAGCCAAGCAGCGUGAAGGAAGACGGCCCUACGGGUUGUAAACUUCUUUUGUAAGAGAAUAAAGGCAGGUACGCGUGCCUGUCUGAAUGUACUUUACGAAUAAGGAUCGGCUAACUCCGUGCCAGCAGCCGCGGUAAUACGGAGGAUCCGAGCGUUAUCCGGAUUUAUUGGGUUUAAAGGGUGCGUAGGCGGUCUGUUAAGUCAGUUGUGAAAGUUCGCGGCUCAACCGCAGAAUUGCCUUUGAUACUGGCAGGCUAGAGUACAGUUGAGGUAGGCGGAAUGCGUGGUGUAGCGGUGAAAUGCUUAGAGAUCAUGCAGAACUCCGAUUGCGAAGGCAGCUUACCAAGCUACCACUGACGUUGAGGCACGAAAGCGUGGGUAGCAAACAGGAUUAGAUACCCGAGUAGUC